This 424-nucleotide ribosomal RNA is filed under the name uncultured bacterium. Its description in RNAcentral is "bacterial SSU rRNA". It matches the Rfam family "Bacterial small subunit ribosomal RNA", at positions 1 to 425 of the family's 1533-position model. The record is from RNAcentral.
AAUUCGCCCUUAGAGUUUGAUCCUGGCUCAGAUUGAACGCUGGCGGCAUGCCUUACACAUGCAAGUCGAACGGUAACGCGGGGCAACCUGGCGACGAGUGGCGAACGGGUGAGUAAUAUAUCGGAACGUGCCCAGUCGUGGGGGAUAACUGCUCGAAAGAGCAGCUAAUACCGCAUACGACCUGAGGGUGAAAGCGGGGGAUCUUCGGACCUCGCGCGAUUGGAGCGGCCGAUAUCAGAUUAGGUAGUUGGUGGGGUAAAGGCCUACCAAGCCGACGAUCUGUAGCUGGUCUGAGAGGACGACCAGCCACACUGGGACUGAGACACGGCCCAGACUCCUACGGGAGGCAGCAGUGGGGAAUUUUGGACAAUGGGGGCAACCCUGAUCCAGCCAUGCCGCGUGCGGGAAGAAGGCCUUCGGGUUG